UACGGAAGGCAGCAGUGGGGAAUAUUGCACAAUGGGCGAAAGCCUGAUGCAGCUAUGCCGCGUGUAUGAAGAAGGCCUUAGGGUUGUAAAGUACUUUCAUCGGGGAGGAAAAACAAAACUAAUAAUUUUAUUUCUUGACGUUACCCGAAAAAGAAGCACCGGCUAACUCCGUGCCAGCAGCCGCGGUAAUACGGAGGGUGCUAGCGUUAAUCAGAAUUACUGGGCGUAAAGAGCACGUAGGUGGUUUUUUUAAAGUCAGAUGUGAAAUCCCUGGGCUUAACCUGGAACUGCAUUUUGAAACUGAAAUACUAGAGUAUCGUAGAGGGAGGUAGAAUUCUAGGUGUAGCGGUGAAAUGCGUAGAUAUCUGGAGGAAUACCUGUGGCGAAAGCGGCCUCCUAAACGAAUACUGACACUGAGUGCGAAAGCGUGGGGAGCAAACAGGGAUUAGGAUA
RNAcentral lists this ribosomal RNA (453 nucleotides) under uncultured bacterium. RNAcentral describes it as "bacterial SSU rRNA". It matches the Rfam family "Bacterial small subunit ribosomal RNA", at positions 340 to 784 of the family's 1533-position model. The record is from RNAcentral.